Molecule: non-coding RNA, 218 nt
Organism: Lactuca sativa (garden lettuce)
Lineage: Eukaryota; Viridiplantae; Streptophyta; Magnoliopsida; Asterales; Asteraceae
Source: RefSeq, a predicted model, not a curated record
UUACAGAAUAAGAUAGAAAGGGCGACUCGUCGAGCUCAAGAGCAAUUUCAAACAAUUUUAGAGGAGCAAAGCAGAUUUGCUCUUGAUAUUGACCUUGAUGCUCCAAAAAUCAGAGUUCCUAUAAGAUUAAGUUCCUCGUCAGAGUAUAACAGUCAUUUUCUUUUGGAUUUUUGUCAUUUUACAUUGCAAACAGAGGAGGACCAGCCUGAUGAUAAAGG